This is a ribosomal RNA of 796 nucleotides. It matches the Rfam family "Bacterial large subunit ribosomal RNA", at positions 1209 to 2570 of the family's 2925-position model.
UCCCGGAACCCGGCUACUAGUAUUGAGUCUUCCUAUAUUAAUAUAGAAGAGUUUAUGUUAGAACUAGUAACACAGAAUUUUUUCUCCCUAUGUAAGUGUAAAUCAGAUUGAAUAAGUCACUGAUAAUUAUUCGGCAAUGAAACUAACGUAACAACCCCCUCCCUGAAAACCCUACGACUUUAUCCGUUAACCUAACACAAGAACAUCAGAGAAAGAUUAAAAGACAAAGAAGGAACUCGGCAAACCUAAGUCCCGCCUGUUUACCAAAAACAUCGCCUCUUGAAAAUUAUACGAGGUUAUGCCUGCCCAGUGACUAUAUGUUCAACGGCCGCAGUAUUUUAACCGCGCGAAGGUAGCGUAAUCACUUGUUUUCUAAAUAAAGACUAGUAUGAACGGCCACACGAGGACUUAACUGUCUCCUUUGUCCAAUCAGUGAAACUGAUCCCCCCGUGCAGAAGCGGGGAUAACACCAUAAGACGAGAAGACCCUAUGGAGCUUUAAACCUAGCCAACUAUUUUUCUAAACCUCCAAGGAGCCACAACUAUUAAAUUUAAUUGAUUCAGGUUUUAGGUUGGGGCGACCAUGGAGAAAAACUUAACCUUCCUGACGACUCAUAAACUAAGAGCCACAGCUCUAAGUAUUAAGAUUCUUAACCCUCAUUGACCCACUUUGUGAUCAACGAACCAAGUUACCCUAGGGAUAACAGCGCAAUCCAUUUCAAGAGUCCCUAUCGACAAAUGGGUUUACGACCUCGAUGUUGGAUCAGGGCACCCAAGUGGUGAAACCGCUACUAAAG